Syngnathoides biaculeatus (alligator pipefish) is the source of this 864-nucleotide long non-coding RNA. RefSeq lists it as uncharacterized. NCBI's taxonomy places the organism in Eukaryota, Metazoa, Chordata, Actinopteri, Syngnathiformes, Syngnathidae. The transcript is spliced from 3 exons. The record is from RefSeq and is a predicted model, not a curated record.
UCGUCGUGAAAUUAGUCACAGCUGUGAUAGCGGAAAAAGGCAUUGCUAUCUGUUUGCAUUAAAUUUGGUGUUUAGAAUAACGACAACAUUCCGAUUUCCGGUAUUUCGUCUGUAUUUUCACUCCGAUGUGAGCAUUUCAUAGAGAAGCAUUCUGUUUACUACAGCAUAGAUAUAAGUUAUAGACAUACGCACGCAUAUGUUAUCGAGCGGUCUGCAUAUUUGGCAGUACGUCGAAAGUCUUGGAGCGAAAAGAUGAAGAUCGUGCCAGGGAAAUUGAUAAAAACCACCGGGUAAAAAAAACUGUUUCAGAUGGGCAUGGCUUGAAAAAUGUGUAACCGUGCAGAUAGAAACGAAAACGGUAUCAACACGUCUAACCGAACACAUACAAAAAGUGCUGUGCACUCUGUGUUCCGAUUGGAGCAAAAAAUAUCCAGGAGCGUAUCCAAACCAGGAAACACAAAGCCAUAACUUCAAAUGAAACCAUAACUACGAUGUGGCGCCAAGACAAAAAUGAGUUUGACGCCCCUGAUUAAGAAUACUUCAUGACUUCAUGAUGAUGCAAAAGCAGCGACAAUGGCCGAUCCGAGGGAGGCCGUCAGGCCACAAAAGGCGCAACGGAAAUGGGGGUGAACUUCUGGGAAGUCUGUGCCUCUCCUGCUCAUUACCUCGCCGUUGUCCUCGGGGCUGCCUUGUCCAAUCGCUCUCUCCCCCUUUCUGGGUUUUGUCUUGGACAUGGGGGGCGACUUGCGGGUCAGGGUGGCCUUGGCUGUGUCGCCUCUUUCCAUCCAUCCAUCCAUCCAUCCAUUUCUUCACGGUCUGGCUCCAGGAUGGAGCUUGUACUUCUCUCCUCUUGCUGAGGAAGAA